CUUCAUCGUAGCAUUAUAAAGCUUGUUGGAGAGAGGGUGGAGGAGAGGGAAGAGGGGGCGGGGGCAGUUAUUUUCUGCUAGUUUGGUGUGCAUAUGUGCCCCCUCCACCCUGUCAUGCCCUACAGACCCAUUCUCACACUUUUGAACUGUUAACAUGGUGACACCUGCCUGUUUGGCAGAAAGAAUGGCAUCUGUUCCAUGCAAUAGAAAGCACUGGAAAGACAGUUUAUCCAAUUUAGAUAUGUGUAGGUUUUCAAAAACAAACACUGUUAAUGAACUACUGUGCUGACAUAUGCAGAAUGCCCAACAACUAAUUUAAUACUAGUGCCACUGAUCGAAUCUCCCUGUGGCCUGUGUAUCCUGCACUGCAUCUCAAUGAGAGGACGCAAGCGCCUGAGACAGACAGGGUGACACAGUCACACAGCUAAAUGAAGGUAAUGCUGAGUGCUCCAUUUUGACACUGCAGUGUUUGCAUAAUCAGAUGUGCUAUAAGGUGACCUCUUUGCCGGUGUCACUGCGAUUGCCUCCUCAGCAUGCCUCGUGUUGAUUGACAGGUCGACUAACGAGUUCUGCCUCUGUGCACUCAGGUGUGGAGGUGAGGCCAUGGUAGUGCAGAGGGACUGUGGGAGUGGAGGAUGAUGGCAGUGUUAAGGAAGGCAAGGUGACCCGCUGUUAAAAGCAGGGGGCAGGAACGUGGAGGAGGCCCAGCUGUUCCCUCUGACAGUAGCCCGGCUGGAGGAGUUCUUAGGCAGGCUGGGGGGUCCUCAGUUUUUGCGUCCCUAACCUUGCCCCACUGAUCCGGAUGAACAAUAAUGGAGGAGGCACUGUGAGUGUGCAAUGGACCAGGACAGUCUGAGACGAGAGGGAACUGCUUUGAGAAAUCUCUAGCUAAGUCUUGCUAUGUUAAGAUCGAGUGUGUGUGUGUGUGUGUGUGUGUGGUACAACUGCAUACUGCUGUGUUUAGCUUUCCUACCCUAACUCUAAUUCUGUUGAGGUGAACAGUCAGGUGAACAUUUCCUUUGUCUGAUAAAACCUUUUUAUCAGGAGGCAGCUUCUAGCUAAAAGUUUACGUGCAUACUCACUGAAUUAAUGGUAGAGAACUCCACGUAUGUGUGCCAUUUUGCAUUAGAGUUACAUAGACAAGGCAAAUUGACUAUUGAGAAAUUUGGGAAAAUUCCCAGUAAGCCGUUUUACUUUCCUUUGCGUGGGCUGACAAUUUCUGUUUGUUUUUUUCUGAGUUUAUUAUUUUUGCAUAUCCUUCUUGCUCAUUUGCACUCUCUGGCACAUUUGCAUGCAUACAAUAUGAUGUGCUAUUCGUUAGUAAACCGAUAAACGAUUUUGAAGAUACAGUAACCAUUGUAAGAUACUGAACCAUUAUAAACAAGACAUGAGAGAAAUCUUUUCACUUAUUACAUUUUUUUAAAUCUGGGCAAAUAUUCUAAAUCAUUCAACUACCCACUAAUUUAUUUAUAGUUCCAUUGAGUGCAGGUGACAUGCAGAAUUUUAGUUAGGAAAAAUAAGGCAUAACUGAAGAGGUUUGGAUGAAGAUAAAAUGAAAUAUAGGAUGUAGGUUUUAUUGUGCACAUGUAGUUUGGGUCAUGUGAUCAGAGUUACAAAAUUAAAGCUAUGGAGUUAAAAAAUAGAAUUGUUCGCUAGAUUGUCCACUUGACUUUGUGACUUCAAAUGGCUAUACUGAGUCCAGAAAGCUUGUCAGAAAUGGCAGUACACAAUAAAAUGCUAGACACUGAAAAGAGCAACACAUAUAUAAGUGCACCCAGAUGAGUCCAGAUCCACUUGAGUCACCAAGGAUAUACAAAAUAAAAUAAUAUACUCUUAACUAAUAACAACAUCAAACUGAACAAAAAAGUCGUUUUUAAGUGAAUCACUUGGACAGACGGAUAUUUUUCAGUGUGUGGUCAAAGUCAGUAUUUUUUUCUUAGGGUCAUUGUAAAGUCUCAGAGCAGUAUUGUGUGUUAAGAGACAUUUAGAAGACAUUAAACAGUCUUGUCAGCUCUCUUAGCUAGUGGGACCUCUGCCAAUACCUGGAGUUAUGGCACCAUAUCUGUGAGUCUUCAGGGGAAUAAAGGUGUGUGAAAUGACAGGAGUGUCACUGCUUCCUGGGAUUGAUUUAGCUGUGAGAUCUGUUCCACUGACAGCAUGCAAUGUGCCGUGUUUGGCUGUGUGUAUUUACCACUGUGGCUGUCAUCUCUGUCAGCAUUAUCUGGAAGAAGUGAUUGGGUGGUGAUGUCCUAUUAGACAUCCCCUGUACAUUUGGGUAAAAAAAAAAAGUUGUUGACUGUUCCUAUAAGGAUGUAUUCCUAGGUAGAUUUAGUUUUCUGUCUAGUUUUUCUCUUCUUUAUCGUACUGGUUCUCAUCUUUCCUUUUUUUUUGCUGCUUCACUUUACUUUUUUUCUGUCACCCACAGCCUCUCUGUCUCUCUCUCUCUCUCUCUCUCUCUCUCUCUCUCUCUCUCUCUCUCUCUCUCUCUCUCUCUCUCUCUCUCUCUCUCUCUCUCUCUCUCUCUCGCUCACUCUGUAUGUUCUGGGUCUCAGUCAGGCCCAGAUGUCCCUCUGUACUCCUUGUCUCUUUUAUGUAGCUGUUAAUGAGGGAGUCACAUAUGGCCUUCACCCUUGUUAGAAGGACUGGGUGACACUUUUGGGGAGUGUGGGGGUGGUUGUGUCGUUCGGGUGGUGAGCAUGUGGGUGGGCAGCAGUUCUGUCUCUCUGGCACACAGAGGGCAUGUGGAGGGCACAGUUCCAGGCAUAGAGUCUGAAAGGUCACGGAAAAUGGUUAAAUGUUUGCUACUGUUAGUACUAACUACUCUUAGCUGGUCCUUCCUUUUUAAUUAUUAGUUGUUAAACAGGAAUUGUAUUACUUACAUUCAGUGAACAGAAUGGCCAUGAUCCACUUAGAGUAAUCCCUUACCCAAACCUCCCAUGCAUUUUACACACAUUUAUAUGUUCUUUGAAUGUGACUUUUGUAAGAAACGUAUGACAGAGUUGUACAGGUUAUACCCUGAAAUUGUACACGAUGAACCAAAAUUCGUACAUAAUUAAAUGUGAAAUAUAAGGAUGUGACAAUACAAGAACCAUGUGGAAAAAAUAAAAACACAUGAGCUGCAUGUGAAAUGAGUGAGGUGUCUAAAAACAUAUAUAAGUGUGAAUAAUAAAAACGUGUGACUUU
Molecule: long non-coding RNA, 3183 nt
Organism: Tachysurus fulvidraco (yellow catfish)
Lineage: Eukaryota; Metazoa; Chordata; Actinopteri; Siluriformes; Bagridae
Exons: 5
Source: RefSeq, a predicted model, not a curated record